Molecule: non-coding RNA, 1506 nt
Organism: Paramuricea clavata
Lineage: Eukaryota; Metazoa; Cnidaria; Anthozoa; Malacalcyonacea; Plexauridae
Source: the annotation of a GenBank genome assembly
AAUGCAACAAUGUAGACACUGAAAAAACACAUCCUCAUUUAAGGCUGAGUGCAUACAUUCAUAAUAAAUAUUUUGUUCACAACCUACAGUAUUACAUCUGAGAGAUUACAUGUAUAUAAUGUAUAUAUAUAACUUAUACAUCUGACAACUCUAAAAAGAUUAUUAUGACUGUGUUGUGCAUGAGUACCAUACGUAAAAUAGAAUUUAAAACUGCUGCAGGUUGGUAUAAUUAUCGUCAUUGUAAACACUACAAAAGUAUGUAUAAAUGACAAAUCAAUGUAGCAUUUUCGCAGCAAAUUUUUGCCGCCAAUUUACACAAUAGGGACUUUAGCAUGUAGAGCGGCAACUCGUCGACGACGACCAAAUCAAAUUACUUCAAAUAAUUGACUUGUGCUUUCAGUGAAGUUUUAGGAUCAGACAGGAGCCUUAUAGUUCAGCCAAUUUCUUUUGAGCCAAUUUGCCGAGUACGACUUCUCGCUGUUUCAUGAAAAUGCAGUCCGUUUUACAAAAGGCGUGAAAAUUGAAUUGAAUUGAAAAGCCUUUCUUUUGACAGUGAAAUUCGUAUCAGUUUUCGAGUAAAACUGUUAUCAACAGAAGAAAAUUUUACUGCAAGUUUGCUGUCGUAAACAGAGCGAAGACGAUCAUUGUAUUAUCUAUAAGUCCUAUAAUAGCCGUGCUCUAGCUAAAGAUCCCUCAGACCAUAAUUUACAACAUUACCCCAAAACACGAAUAGUAAUUGUGAACCCUAUUUCUAAUUCAAUUACUGGACAGGAAAUGGUCAAACUCAGGAUUUUGGGCUCGAUACAAAAGGGUUUUGCACAUGGAAAUCUCGGAGUGUGAUUUUUGUAUCUGCGCGUAGCGCAGAUAUAUUGCUAUCGCGUCAGUCAGUAAAGUAAAGUAAAGUAAAGUAAAGUAAAGUAAAGUAAAGUUAAGUAAGUUAAGUUAAGUUGUUAAGUCCGUCAACCUUGUUUUGAAGGCCUGUUCGCAGGCUAGAACAGCUUUAAAACAAGAUGGCGUCUUUCGAAAAGCUUUCAAGAGUAGUAAUCAUUAGUAAUCGUGGUAUUAAUAGACUUUAUCCUGACUUUAUUUUGAUAAAAUCUUCUUCUAUAGCAGUCUUUUUGAUAUAACUCUUACAGUCAAACUGGAUGUUCUGUUCCCAUGAGUAUUGCAACAUUGCAAUCAAUCUUGCAAUGUUGAUUGCAAAUUGCUCCGAGCAAAUUACACGCAAGUAUUCAACUGUCAUUUUUUCAAGCUCCUAUCACUCCCGUGUUGGGGAAAGGGAAUAACAAAUCAAAAGGACUAAUAUUGUGCCUACCACUUGACAAAUUAAAGGUAAACUGGAAUGUAUAGAGGAUAUUUAUACAUGGUUGUGCGGAAAUAUGUAAUUUAUUUCGAGUGUUGAAGAGAACUAUUGCUAACGAGUGAGCGUAGCAAAUUGCAAGUUGUUCCAUUAUGUGAUUUAAUAAUCUAAAUUUUUGAGUAAGGUCAUGGACAUAUUGUAAUUAU